UUUACAUCAGAGCAGUUUCAUGCAUAGUGCUUCAAUCUGAAUCUGAUAUCAGCCUUGAAAGAUGAGUAAAGGAGACAUGAGGGAAUGGACAGCAAGCAAUUUAACCAAAGCCACAUACAGUUAUUUUGCUCCCUGCUCAAGUUCAAGGCUCCCAUAUCCUUAGAUCAGUUCCAAGAGUCUACAGGAAGCUGCUGGCUCAGAAAACCAAUGGUUCUGCAUAAAGAGAUAUCCGUGGCUCUGCUAAGGUUUGGAUCGGGCAUUGGGAGCCCCAUCUGGAUCUCCAUGGGAUAACCACAUUGGUUUGUUUAGUAAACACUGAGACCAACUCCACCAUCCAGAGGCCUGACAGACAAAUGGCCUGAGACAGGGCUGGGAAAGUUUUGCUUCUGGUUGGGACUUCAGGAAGAGUUUUGUUUUGUUUUGUUUUCCCCCAAGGGAACAAGCCCUUGAAUCCGGGAGGCCAAGGUUGCGGUGAACCGAGAUUGCGCCAUUGCACUCCAGCCUGGGCAACAAGAGCGAAACUCCGUCUCAAAAACAUAAAAAGUAAAAAAGAUAUGUACGUCAAUGUCAGACUUUCUGUGCUGGAUGGAAGGACUCUGAGCCUACCAAAGGAAGCGUAUUUACAAACCUCUAGGUACUGACUUGUUGCUGAAGGUCAGAAAUUUGCAAUGACAUUUGGAUGUAUUCAAGGGUGGAGGGGCAGGUUUGGGGAAAGUUCUUUUAAAGAAAAAAUGCAAAAUUUGAUUACAAGAAGCUGGGGUGCCUCCCAGGGCCUCGGAAAGGGCUUGCACAAGUGAAGCACCCUGAAGAUAAUGCUUCAUUAGCUUUACAGUGAAGCCACCUCUGAAUCUCUGUUUGGUGUUUGUCCAAAAUAUUCCAAGUUGAAGGCAGGCCUGAUUAUAUGAUCGCACAGCAAUUUUCCUGGGGAAAAGUCUUUUGCUGCCAGUUCUUCCUCUGCUAUGAAUAGGUCUUAGUCUCGUGCUCUCUUUUCUAUCUAUACCCUCUCCCUACUCCAGGGGUCCCCAACCCUUGGGCCACAGGAACCAGGCCACACAGCAGGAAGUGAGCAGGGCGAGCGAAGCUUCAUCCCUAUUUACAGCUGCUCCCCAUUGUUUGCCUUAUGCCUGAUCUCUGCCUCCUGUUAGGUCAGCAGUGGCAUUAGAUUCUCAUAGGAGUGUGAAUGCUAUUGUGAACCGCCCAUGCGAGGGAUCUAGGUUGCACACUUCCUAUGAGAAUCUAAUGCCUGAUGAUCUGUCACUCUCUCCUAUCACCCCCAGAUGGGACCAUCUAGUUGCGGGAAAACGAGCUCAGGGCUCCCACUGAUUCUACAUUAUGGUGAGUUGUGUAGACAAAAAGAGUCCAACUGUAAAAUAUUUGAAGAUAUUUAUUCUGAGCCAAAUAUAAGUGACCAGAGCCCGU
RNAcentral lists this long non-coding RNA (1419 nucleotides) under Homo sapiens (human). RNAcentral describes it as "HSALNT0030297". Lineage: Eukaryota; Metazoa; Chordata; Mammalia; Primates; Hominidae. The record is from RNAcentral.